AGGCAAUCCGUUUUCACCGCCAUGGGAGGAGGGGAAUUCAUUAGAGCAGCGGCGAAGAUGGCCGGAGCCGGAGCCGGAGCCGUUAACGCUGGUGUCCGAGGAUCGUCGACGGUGCCUCAGUUUGGGCAAUUGCUUCGCAGCGCGUCGAGACCGUCGUCUGUUUUCGUCGGAUCGUCUUCUCCGGUGCCACCGGCGAAGGCCACCGCCGGUGCCGACGUGGAAGUUGUGCAGAAACCGGCGUGGGAGAUCGAUGACUGGGAAUUCGCUAACUUCGAGGACGAUUUGGCCAUGGACGCUGCUGGGCUUAAACCAAGGAUUGUUUUUGGGGCGGUUCCCAGUUUCGAAGAGGCGAAGGAAGCUACGACGGAGGUGAAGGAGGCUUUGGAUAAGGUAUACUUGUCUUCUUCACCAGAAUCUGGUGGAUUAAAUCUGAUGGUACCUUCAAAAAGUAAAGAGCCCGAGUCUUGUUUAUCUAUUGAGACGAGUUUACAGUCACAGACUUCGGUGCCUCAGCAUGCAAUUCAAGCAUUUAAGCUGCUCAAGGAAAGUGCUGAAGCUCAGACUGUUGUUGCCUCAAUUGCCUCUGACCCAAAUGUCUGGAAUGCAAUGUUGGGAAAUGAAGCGCUUAAGAGCUUCUUGCAAUCAUAUCAGACCAACAAGGUACUUGAGUAUCAUGAAGUUUCUGAAGAGCCUGAAGAGGCGCCAGUUGUGAGUUACACUGAGCAGUCGCAAAAUGAGUCGAGAGAUGUCUUUCACGAGACGCUAGAAUAUAUUAAAACUUCCAUUGAUGACAUGCUGACUAAGGCAUCCAGUUUCCUUCAGAAAAUAUUUGGAUCCUCACCACCUGAAGUUUCUGGAAAUGACAAAGCAACCUCUGGAUUUUCCACUUCAGAGAUAGCCAUGGGAACAUCAAUUAUGGGACUCGUUGUCCUUGUUGUUGCUGUACUGGUUGUGAAGCGAAAUUAGAUGUUGAACUAUGUUUUUUUGGGUAAAUUUGUCGACUUCGCUGUCUUGGAUCUCUUAUUAUGUUCUGCUGAUCUGAGACAUAUUACUGGGUCUUUUUGAAGCAAUACUUGAUGGAAGGAAUAGUUGUAAUUAUUAGUUAUUACUCGUUUGUUUUU
This 1121-nucleotide unclassified non-coding RNA is filed under the name Hevea brasiliensis (rubber tree). The record is from RNAcentral. Lineage: Eukaryota; Viridiplantae; Streptophyta; Magnoliopsida; Malpighiales; Euphorbiaceae.